Molecule: non-coding RNA, 72 nt
Organism: Phrynosoma platyrhinos (Desert horned lizard)
Lineage: Eukaryota; Metazoa; Chordata; Lepidosauria; Squamata; Phrynosomatidae
Source: the annotation of a GenBank genome assembly
GCCACUGUGGUAUAGUGGUUUGAGUGCUGAACUGCAACUAUGGAGACCAGGGUUUGAUUCCCUGCUCAGCCA